CGUAGGUGCGAGCGUUAUCCGGAAUUAUUGGGCGUAAGAGCUCGUAGGCGGUUUGUCGCGUCUGUCGUGAAAGUCCGGGGCUUAACCCCGGAUCUGCGGUGGGUACGGGCAGACUAGAGUGCAGUAGGGGAGACUGGAAUUCCUGGUGUAGCGGUGGAAUGCGCAGAUAUCAGGAGGAACACCGAUGGCAAAGGCAGGUCUCUGGGCUGUAACUGACGCUGAGGAGCGAAAGCAUGGGGAGCGAACAGGAUU
This 252-nucleotide ribosomal RNA is filed under the name uncultured bacterium. Its description in RNAcentral is "partial 16S ribosomal RNA". It matches the Rfam family "Bacterial small subunit ribosomal RNA", at positions 526 to 779 of the family's 1533-position model. The record is from RNAcentral.